AAGAACAUCAGCACAAAAACCCUCCCCCACACAAGAAAACAAUUGCAAAGAACAAGUAACAACACAGAAUAUAAAACCCAUAAGACAGAUGAAAGUCCAUAGUCCGAAGUCCAAAUCUAUAAAGGCAGAACUUACAGUAACAUCUUUCAAUAUCAUCAACAGAGCGAGACACUCUCAAAUGAUUCCAAACGAAGGGUAAAUAAUUUGCAACCAAACUGAGAAACUCGUUCGGCCUCCCAGUGUGCAGCUGCUGGCCCCGUUCCUGGACGGGGCGGUCUGGUCAGCGAGGGCUACGCUCAUCUGCAAGGCGGUGGGGUUUUACCCCGAGAAGAUCUCCUUCCGGUGGAUGGUGGACAGAAGGUCCCACUCCCUGCCCACGGAGCAGGACGAGCUGGUCAGGAGCAGCGGCGGCACCUACAGCGCUACCAGUCGGAUACACAUCCCGUUCCUGGAGUGGGACCGGAUCAGGAGUGUCUACUGCUUGGUCACACACAUCUCCAAAGCCACACACUUCGUCCAGGAGUUCCGGAGAAGAGCCGUUCCAGCCCCACAGCCGCCGAUCACGUUCCUGCUACGGCCCCCUGAUACCCCCUCCGGGGACGGAGCCAGCGUCACGCUCACCUGUGGGGCCAGCGGAUUCUACCCAGCAUCUCUCUCCUUCGGCUGGGAGGUGGAGGGGAGGCAGGAGGACUCAGGGGUCUGGAACACAGAGCCGGUGAGAACCCCCAACGGCACCUACCUGGCCAUCAGCACUCUGAACACCCCUCGAUUCCUCUGGAGCUCGGGGGCUCGCUACACGUGUCUGAUCACCCACCAGGAGCUGGAUCAGCCCAUCAGAAAGACCAUCAACCUCAACGAUUGUGAUCCGGUCGCAUGUGUCCCUUCUCCAACCUCGGACCAAUCCUUAACAACACCGUUAACAACAGUAUCCAUAGAGAUGGACUGGACAACAGUCGUUCCAGCCCCACAGCCGCCGAUCACGUUCUUGCUACGGCCCCCUGAUACGCCCUCCGGGGACGGAGCCAGCGUCACCCUCACCUGUGGGGCCAGCGGAUUCUACCCAGCAUCUCUUUCCUUCAGCUGGGAGGUGGAGGGGAGGCCGGUGGACUCAGGGGUCUGGAACACGAAGCCGGUGAGAACCCCCAACGGCACCUACCUGGCCAUUAGCACUCUGAACACCCCUCGAUUCCUCUGGAGCUCGGGGGCUCGCUACACGUGUCUGAUCACCCACCAGGAGCUGGAUCAGCCCAUCAGAAAGAACAUCAGCCUCAACGAUUGUGAUCCGGUCGCAUGUGUCCCUUCUCCAACCUCGGACCAAUCCUUAACAACACCGUUAACAACAGUAUCCAUAGAGAUGGACUGGACAACAGUCGUUCCAGCCCCACAGCCGCCGAUCACGUUCCUGCUACGGCCCCCUGAUACCCCCUCUGGGGACGGAGCCAGCGUCACCCUCACCUGUGGGGCCAGCGGAUUCUACCCAGCAUCUCUUUCCUUCAGCUGGGAGGUGGAGGGGAGGCCGGUGGACUCAGGGGUCUGGAACACGGAGCCGGUGAGAACCCCCAACGGCACCUACCUGGCCAUCAGCACUCUGAACACCCCUCGAUUCCUCUGGAGCUCGGGGGCUCGCUACACGUGUCUGAUCACCCACCAGGAGCUGGAUCAGCCCAUCAGAAAGAACAUCAGCCUCAACGAUUGUGAUCCGGUCGCAUGUGUCCCUUCUCCAACCUCGGACCAAUCCUUAACAACACCGUUAACAACAGUAUCCAUAGAGAUGGACUGGACAACAGUCGUUCCAGCCCCACAGCCGCCGAUCACGUUCCUGCUACGGCCCCCUGAUACCCCCUCCGGGGACGGAGCCAGCAUCACCCUCACCUGUGGGGCCAGCGGAUUCUACCCAGCAUCUCUUUCCUUCAGCUGGGAGGUGGAGGGGAGGCCGGUGGACUCAGGGGUCUGGAACACGGAGCCGGUGAGAACCCCCAACGGCACCUACCUGGCCAUCAGCACUCUGAACACCCCUCGAUUCCUCUGGAGCUCGGGGGCUCGCUACACGUGUCUGAUCACCCACCAGGAGCUGGAUCAGCCCAUCAGAAAGAACAUCAGCCUCAACGAUCGCUGCCAACCGACCUGGUAUCCCAGGGAGAUCAGCUGGCUGUGGUUAGCAGCUGCCAUGGCCGCGCUGGUGAUCUACACUGGCAUCGUGCUGUGCAUUUUCCAUGGCAUCUGGACCUGUCGGCAGAGGAGGAGAGGAUCCAUUCCAGAAUCUCUCUGGGUAAACCUGGACAUCCCAAUGGAGAAGAUCCCAGAAGACGUUGGGAAAGGGAUGGAGGAAUUCGGGGACGAGGAGAGAUACUCGGAAAUGUUGACACCAGGGAAUUUGAAGCUUGAUACAAGCUCCACGACAACUCCAUUGAUGUAGACGGGGACCCUGUGAACGAGCAGAGGUGGCGGAGAGAGAGAGAGAGAGGGAUUUCAGCCAACAGCGCGAGACCGGAGAACGUUCUCGACCCUGGGCCCCGCAGCAGCUCCUGAAACUCAAACCUGAACUUCCCUGCAGCCGCCGGGUCAGUGGAAUCCAGAGAGGGACGAGGUGCGGCGGUGUCUGGAAUGCUCAGCUCUACGCGUACACCUUCCCCACCCCCCAUGCGUCUGCCGUGCCUUCCUGUACCCCCGUCUGCACUCUCCACACCAGGUAGAACACAGCCAGCUGUCCGUUGGCAGUCCUGUGGUGUGGGGGAAUGAAGAACAGACAGCAGCCUUCACGGAAACAGGCCCUUCGGCCCAGAGUGCCUGUGCUAACCAAAAUACUAAAUAAAACUAAAUGCCUUCUUCCUGGACAUGUCUAACAGCUUCUUAAACACCUCUAUCAUAUCUACAUCCUCCAUUACCCUUGGCAGAAUAUUCCAGGCGCCCACCACUCUGUGUUAAAAAAGAAGCCCCACUCAUCUCCCUUUCAUCUUAAAUGUGUACCCUGUGGUAUUAGACAUUACCACCCUGGGGGAUAAAGAUACUGGCUGUCUGCACCAUCUCAGAUUCAGAUUCAGAUUAUUGUCAUUUACAAACCACAAAUGCACUGCGGUUAAAAAAUGAGACAACGUUCCUCCAGAAUGAUAUCACAAAACACGU
Molecule: non-coding RNA, 3123 nt
Organism: Hypanus sabinus (Atlantic stingray)
Lineage: Eukaryota; Metazoa; Chordata; Chondrichthyes; Myliobatiformes; Dasyatidae
Source: the annotation of a RefSeq genome assembly